This 254-nucleotide ribosomal RNA is filed under the name uncultured bacterium. RNAcentral's name for it is "partial 16S ribosomal RNA". It matches the Rfam family "Bacterial small subunit ribosomal RNA", at positions 524 to 776 of the family's 1533-position model. The record is from RNAcentral.
UACGUAGGACCCAAGCGUUAUUCGGAUUGAUUGGGCGUAAAGAGUUGCGUAGGUGGUUUGUUAAGCGAAUAGUGAAAUCUUGUGGCUCAACCAUAAGACUACUGUUCGAACUGGCAAACUCGAGAAUGGAAGAGGUAUCUGGAAUUCCUAAUGUAGGGGUAAUAUCCGUAGAUAUUAGGAGGAACACCAAUGGCGUAGGCAGGAUACUGGUCCAUUUCUGACACUGAUGCACGAAAGCGUGGGGAGCGAACCGG